AUGUGCUUUUCCAAAGACACGACAGACGCCGUGUUACAGACAGAUAGCGGUUCCCAUUCACAUGUUUUUAAUGACUUUAUAGAUUCUCCUGGGGGAGCUGCAUCUGAACUGAGCAUCGUGGAGACAGGCACGGCACAGCCCCCCUCGCCCUCCUCGGUGCAGGGCACACACCGGGGGAAAGACGGGCCGCUGCACCACCGGGAGCCCGUCCCCGCACCUCUCCUCCCUCAAACAUACGUGGCUCAAUCUCAUGCCACAGCCGAAGCGAAAGCUUCAGGAGUCAAACGGGGUAUGGGACUGCUCCCGCGGCAUUUCUCCGCGAGGCUCAGCAGAGAUGCUCGAGUGGAACAGCGAUGGCACAGCCGCAUCUGCUCGCCUCCAAGUCCCUCACCCGCCGGACUCAGACAGGUAUUGCGGGGACGAUCACCGGCACAGCUCCGCGAUCUCCGCCAGCGACAGACCUGCCUGCAGCACCCGAUGGCUCUGCACGGCUGCGGGCUCAUGGAGACGGAGUUCCUCUUCCAAGCACCGCUGGAACUCAGCCGCACGGGGCCAGGGCUGAGCGCACCGGGCAGCCCCGGGGGUGUGAGAGGACGGCCGUCCCUCCCGCCCCUCUCCCGGGCGCACGGAGGGCACAGCGCGGUGCCACCGUCCUCCGGGACGCGGCCAACGCGGCGCCGUGCGGGGCAGCUGACGGCGGCAGCCCGCGGCUCUCCUCCGGCACACGGCACCGGCCCGGCCCCUCGAAGCAGCCGCCGCACGCCCCUCCCGCAGCGACCCGCCCGCCUCGCGGCACCGCCCGGCCCGGCCCGGCCCGCGCCGCCCCGACCCGCCCGGCCCCGAGCCCCUACCUGCGGGCCGGGAGCGGGGCCGGGAGCGGCGCUCAGAGGCGCCGCGCUGCCAUGCCGCCACCGCCUCCCGCCCCGCCCCGCCGUGUCACUUCCUGAGCUCCGCCCCGCCCCGCUACCUCGCGGCCGCUCCGCCGGCUGCUGUACGGCGCUCUGCGUCCCCGGCGGCGCGGCCAGCAGGGACAGGGGGUGA
Molecule: long non-coding RNA, 1041 nt
Filed under: Numida meleagris (helmeted guineafowl)
Lineage: Eukaryota; Metazoa; Chordata; Aves; Galliformes; Numididae
Description: lncRNA (ENSNMEG00000011331.1)
Source: RNAcentral